AGUGUUCACAUUUCCUUCCUUUCUACAGCAAAAUUUAGUCUCGGAAGCAGCCAUGAAUCGAGCAAGGAUAAUCCUUGCAUCCCUUAGACUCUCCAAUUCCCUCCUCUUGUCGCGGCUUUUCACAACUCGGCCGCUUUUAACUCAGGUGACUAACUUUUCUCCCCUUACCUCCUAUUUUCUCAUGGAGCAGUCCCAUUCUUUUUGUUAUUUCAAUAGCCAUCAAAAGGUUUACUUCUCGUCAAAACCAAGCUCCCUUAUGGAACUCUUGUUGGCCAAUGAUUGGUCAACUGAGUUGGAGGGCGAGUUACAAAACUCCAACCCCACAUUGACCCAUGAAACAGUUAUUUAUGCUUUGAAGAAGCUAGAUAAAAACCCUGAUAAGGCGUGGGGUUUCUUUAAUUGGGCGUGUGAGAGAAACGGAUUUAAACCCAGUUCGCCGUUGUAUAGCAUAAUGCUUCGAAUAUUGGUGAACAAGGAUUCUAUGAAGAAUUUUUGGAUUACGUUAAGGAAAAUGAAAGAACAAGGGUUUUAUAUUGAUGAGGAAACAUAUUUAACAAUUUCAGCAAGGUUUAAGAAGGAGAAGAUGCGAAGCGAUGUGGUGGCUUUUAAACAUUUUUUUGAUAGGAUGGUUAACGAGAAUGCUAUGGAUAGUGUAGUGAAAAAUGUGGCUACUGUUAUUUCUGAGAAGGAUUGGAGCAAUGAGGUUGAGGAAGAAUUGGGGGGGAUGGGAAUCUUGUUAACAGAUAAUUUUGUGAUUGGGGUACUGAAGGAGCUUAGGAAUUAUCCUCUGAAAGCUUUGCAAUUUUUUCAUUGGGUUGGUAAGUCUGAAGGUUAUGAUAACAACAGUGUUACAUAUAAUGCAAUUAUCAGAGUCCUUGGUAGGCAUGACUCAAUGGGGGAGUUUUGGAGUGUUCUUGAAGAGAUGAAGAAUGCUGGUCAUGAAAUGGAUAUUGUCACUUACAUAAAGAUUUCAAGACAGUUUCAGAAAAACAAGUUGAUGGGGGAUGCAGUGAAGCUUUAUGAAUUUAUGAUGGAUGGCCCAUUUAAGCCCUCAGUUCAAGAUUGCAGUAUUCUUUUGCAGAGCAUCUCAGCAAGCGACAACCCCGAUUUGGAUUUGGUUUCUAGAGUUGCAAACAAAUUUGCAGCAACGGGGAAUUCCCUUUCUAAGGCUGUUUAUGAUGGCAUACAUAGAUCCUUGACAAGUGCAGGGGAGUUUGAUGAAGCAGCAAAAAUUAUGAAGGUUAUGAAAGAUGCAGGAUACGAGCCUGACAACAUCACAUACAGUCAAUUGGUCUUUGGACUCUGCAAGGCAAGAAGAUUGGAAGAGGCAUGUGAGGUUCUUGAUGAAAUGGAAGCACAUGGAUGUAUUCCAGAUACUAAGACUUGGACUAUUUUGAUUCAAGGGCAUUGUUCUGCUGCUGAAAUUGACAAGGCAUUUAUGUGUUUUGCAAAGAUGAUGGAGAAAAACUGUAAUGCUGAUGCUGAUUUGUUGGAUGUGCUAAUAAAUGCUUUUCUCAGUCAAAAGAGGAUAGAUGGUGCUUACACAUUACUUGUAGAGAUGGUAAACAAGGCUUCUUUAAGACCUUGGCAAGCAACGUACAAACUUCUUAUUGAAAAGCUUCUAGAAGAGAGGAAACUUGAAGAAGCACUGAACCUUCUUCGUUUAAUGAAGCAACACAACCACCCUCCUUUUCCUGAGCCAUUUGUUCUGUAUAUCUCCAAGUUUGGGACUGUGGCGGAUGUUGCAGAUUUCUUCAAGGCAUUGAGUGUAAAGGAAAAUCCAUCAACUUCAGCUUACCUUCAUGUCUUUCAAUCAUUCUUCAAGGAAGGUAGACAUUCUGAGGCCAAAGAUCUGCUAUACAAGUGUCCUCAUCGUAUUCGCAAACAUCCUAAGAUUUGUGAACUUUUUGGUUCUGCAAAAAGCGUAGAAACCACUGCUUGAACAUAAUUUUCUAUUAUUUUCUUUUACUUGAAGGAUUGGUUCAUUUUCCAAUCUUCUCUUGUACCAAGUUGGCCAAGUGCUAUCCUAGAAAUUAGUUAACUUCUAUGUAUCAGGAAUUUCUAUUGGAAAUUUGCUUUCACGUAUGCAUCUAGCAUCGGCCAAAUCUGCCUGGCAUAAUUCCGGUUUCAUUUUUUUAAGUUCAAGGUGUUGAAAGCAAUUAUAUGGCUGUGUUGUAACCACAGGCAGUCAUUAAUGUUUCAAAUACAUGCAGUUGAGAGCUGAGCACAAGCCUCCUAUUGAGGGAUUCCGUUCUUUUCUCAUUUCAUAACAAUUGUUGUUAUGGGUAUGCCAAGUUUUUGUAUAUUGGCUUGUGUAGGUUCAGGUAAAAACUGAAAAUUGCUUACUAGUCGUUCUCUUUUUGUCAUUCUGUAAUCACAAUCCUGUAUUUUUGUUUCACAGUGAAUCAAUAUAAAAUGCUAAUUGCAAUUUUCG
Molecule: unclassified non-coding RNA, 2434 nt
Filed under: Hevea brasiliensis (rubber tree)
Lineage: Eukaryota; Viridiplantae; Streptophyta; Magnoliopsida; Malpighiales; Euphorbiaceae
Source: RNAcentral